AUUGAACGCUGGCGGCAUGCCUUACACAUGCAAGUCGAACGGCAGCACGGGGCAACCUGGUGGCGAGUGGCGAACGGGUGAGUAAUGCAUCGGAACGUGCCAUUGAGUGGGGGAUAACGUAGCGAAAGUUGCGCUAAUACCGCAUAUUCUGUGAGCAGGAAAGCAGGGGACCGCAAGGCCUUGCGCUCUUUGAGCGGCCGAUGUCAGAUUAGCUAGUUGGUGAGGUAACGGCUUACCAAGGCGACGAUCUGUAGCGGGUCUGAGAGGAUGAUCCGCCACACUGGAACUGAGACACGGUCCAGACUCCUACGGGAGGCAGCAGUGGGGAAUUUUGGGACAAUGGGCGCAAGCCUGAUCCAGCCAUGCCGCGUGAGUGAAGAAGGCCUCGGUUGUAAG
RNAcentral lists this ribosomal RNA (396 nucleotides) under uncultured bacterium. RNAcentral's name for it is "bacterial SSU rRNA". It matches the Rfam family "Bacterial small subunit ribosomal RNA", at positions 30 to 429 of the family's 1533-position model. The record is from RNAcentral.